UUGGAGGGCAAGUCUGGUGCCAGCAGCCGCGGUAAUUCCAGCUCCGAUAGCGUAUAUUAAAGUUGUUGCAGUUAAAAAGCUCGUAGUUGAAUUUCGGGGUCAGUAGGUUGGUCAUGCCACUGGUAUGUACCGGUCUCACUGAUUCCUCCUUCCUGAUGAGCCGUAAUGCCAUUAAUUUGGUGUUGCGAGGAAUCUGGACUGUUACUUUGAAAAAAUUAGAGUGUUUAAAGCAAGCUAACGCUUGAAUACAUUAGCAUGGAAUAAUGAAAUAGGACGUUCGAUCCUAUUUUGUUGGUUUCUAGGAUUGACGUAAUGAUUAGUAGGGAUAGUUGGGGGCAUUAGUAUUCAAUUGUCAGAGGUGAAAUUCUUGGAUUUAUUGAAGACUAACUACUGCGAAAGCAUUUGCCAAGGAUGUUUUCAUUAAUCAAGAACGAAAGUUAGGGGAUCGAAGACGAUCAGAUACCGUCGUAGUCUUAACCAUAAACUAUGCCGACUAGGGAUCGGAUGAUGUUAAUUUUUUAAUGACUCAUUCGGCGCCUUACGGGAAACCAAAGUGUUUGGGUUC
RNAcentral lists this ribosomal RNA (565 nucleotides) under uncultured Glomeromycotina. Its description in RNAcentral is "SSU rRNA". It matches the Rfam family "Eukaryotic small subunit ribosomal RNA", at positions 548 to 1114 of the family's 1831-position model. Lineage: Eukaryota; Fungi; Glomeromycota. The record is from RNAcentral.